CGAGGGGAGCCCUAGCACAGGUGCUGCAUGGCCGUCGUCAGCUCGUGCCGUGAGGUGUUGGGUUAAGUCCCGCAACGAGCGCAACCCCCGCCGUUAGUUGCCAGCGGUUCGGCCGGGCACUCUAACGGGACUGCCCGCGAAAGCGGGAGGAAGGAGGGGACGACGUCUGGUCAGCAUGGCCCUUACGGCCUGGGCGACACACGUGCUACAAUGCCCACUACAAAGCGAUGCCACCCGGCAACGGGGAGCUAAUCGCAAAAAGGUGGGCCCAGCUCGGAUUGGGGUCUGCAACCCGACCCCAUGAAGCCGGAAUCGCUAGUAAUCGCGGAUCAGCCAUGCCGCGGUGAAUACGUUCCCGGGCCUU
RNAcentral lists this ribosomal RNA (364 nucleotides) under uncultured Thermus sp. Its description in RNAcentral is "bacterial SSU rRNA". It matches the Rfam family "Bacterial small subunit ribosomal RNA", at positions 1018 to 1382 of the family's 1533-position model. Lineage: Bacteria; Thermotogati; Deinococcota; Deinococci; Thermales; Thermaceae. The record is from RNAcentral.